UCCGUAGGGGGUCUGCCAAGUCUGAUGUGAAAUCCUGUGGCUCAACCGCGGAACUGCAUUGGAAACUGGCGGACUAGAGUGUGCGAGGGGUGAGCGGAAUUCCUGGUGUAGCGGUGGAAUGCGUAGAUAUCAGGAAGAACACCGAUGGCGAAGGCGGCUCACUGGCGCAUCACUGACCCUGAGGGACGAAAGCGUGGGUAGCGAACAGGAUUAGAUACCCUGGUAGUCC
Molecule: ribosomal RNA, 229 nt
Filed under: uncultured bacterium
Lineage: Bacteria
Description: partial 16S ribosomal RNA
Rfam family: Bacterial small subunit ribosomal RNA
Source: RNAcentral